Non-coding RNA from Podarcis lilfordi (Lilford's wall lizard), 1477 nucleotides. The record is from the annotation of a GenBank genome assembly. Lineage: Eukaryota; Metazoa; Chordata; Lepidosauria; Squamata; Lacertidae.
CUGCAUUAACUGGGGCAGAAUUGAACGGAUUGGUUGGGCCUGAACACGGAAAGCCUGACUACAAAUCCCUGCUUGGCUAUGAACUGCCCUGGGCAGAUGUUUCAACUGAAUCUCCCCUUGCCAUUGUUGUCAGGGCAAAAUAGGAUAGUUAGGAGUUUUGGGGGGGGAGAAGUGUAGGGAGGGGUUGCAAUUCCAAAAGCAGAGCAAGCAAUACGUGACUCUCUCCCCCUCAGUGUAAUGGCUGCCGGGCUAAUGUGACAUUUGUUUGGUUCUUGUUCCUCUACACCAGGAUGCAAAGGUGAUGGAUGAAUGACAAGGCAUCCUAGUGAGUAGCCUGGCAAUGGUGGAGACGAAGGGCAGGUGCCAAAGCUUAAGCCUGCCUGCAAGCCCUGUCAUUUGGGCUGGAAGCAUUUCCCUCUAAUUCAAAAUGAGCGGCGUGCAGCUCUGGCUGAGAGCAUUACUCAGGGCCAAGCUAGACCUGAAACUGAUUGUGGGACUAACAAUUAAAAGUGUGUGUUUUAUUUCUGUCCUGGAAAUGGUAACCUGGGGAUGGAGAGAUGGGGGUGGGGGCAGGUGUUCUAAAAUAAAUGAACAAAAUCCUUCUCUAAAGGUGCUAUAUGCAUGUCAGAUGACGACUCCAGACCUUCCAAGUGUCCCUUUUUUCCAGUGACAGUCCGGGAUUUACAGAAGCCGUCCCAGUUUCUGAUUUUAUCCUGGAAUGUCCCGCUUUUCCUUAGGAUGUCCCUAUUUUCAGAGUUAUGUGACCCUGAUAAGUAACUAUACAACCUUUAGAAGACUUCUGAAGGCAGCCCUGUAUAGGGAAGUUUUUUAAUUUUCAAUGUUUUUUUGUUUUUAUAUAUGUUGGAAGCCACCCAGAAUGGCUGGGGCAACCCAGUCAGAUGGGUGAGGUGCAACUGUUGUUGUUGUUGUUCUUGUUUUCAUUAUUUUUUUUAAUGUUCAGUGUUUUAUUAUGUUUAUAUAUGCACUGUACAGAUGGCUGCAGUAUAAAUAAUAAAAGUAUUCUUCUUAUUAUUAUUAAAUAGGAUGUCCCUAUUUUCAUUAGAGAAAUGUUGGAGAAUAUAGUGCUAUGCAACCGCUGAGCCAAGGACAUAAGCAUAUAUGUAUGUACAGCGAAGGAGAUAAGUAUAUGGAUACUAUAGGGAAGUUUCUUUUAAAAAUGUUUAAUGUUUUAUUAUGUUUUCAUACAUGUUGGCAGACUGGCUGGGGCAACCCAGUAAGCUGGGCAGAGUAUAAAUAACAACGUUACUGUUUUGAUUUUCAUAAUUGAAUAGAACGUCCCUAUUUUCAUCGGAGAAAUAUAAUUUAUUUAUUGGGGGGGGAUCACUUCUAUAGCUAAACUCGACGACUGAGGUAAACGCAUUUAAGUCACUGCCGUCUAUGGCCGGCCUCCCCCCCCCCCCCCCCGCGUAAGAGAACGGCGCCAGAGCUGACCCAGGAGAGGCACAAAAACUGAAGC